RNAcentral lists this ribosomal RNA (440 nucleotides) under uncultured bacterium. Its description in RNAcentral is "partial 16S ribosomal RNA". It matches the Rfam family "Bacterial small subunit ribosomal RNA", at positions 338 to 795 of the family's 1533-position model. The record is from RNAcentral.
CCUACGGGUGGCAGCAGUGGGGAAUAUUGCACAAUGGGGGAAACCCUGAUGCAGCGACGCCGCGUGAGUGAUGAAGUAUUUCGGUAUGUAAAGCUCUAUCAGCAGGGGAGAUAAUGACGGUACCUGAGUAAGAAGCCCCGGCUAAAUACGUGCCAGCAGCCGCGGUAAUACGUAGGGAGCAAGGGUUAUACGGAUUUACUGGGUGUAAAGGGGGCGUAGAGGGCAGGGCAAGUCUGUUGUGAAAGUCCGGGGCUCAACCCCAGAACUGCAUUGGAAACUGUCCGGCUAGAGUACAGGAGAGGUAAGUGGAAUUCGUAGUGUAGCGGUGAAAUGCGUAGAUAUUAGGAGGAACACCAGUGGCGAAGGCGGCUUACUGGACUGUAACUGACGUUGAGGCUCGAAAGCGUGGGGAGCAAACAGGAUUAGAUACCCCUGUAGUC